GUUCUCAUUCCAAAACUAAUUCAGACCAUGACAUAUUCAAUAUGUUAGACUUCUCAUCUAACAGUACACAUUCAUCCAAGCAUUAAUAUAACUACAUUUAAAUUUCCAGAAAUUAAUAUUAACCCCACGCAUAUCAUGUUUUUUAUCAUUCAAGCUCAAAUAAUCAUACCCUAAUUUCCUUGCCCCAACAUAAUCACAGAACAAUACUAUACUAAAUCAAAAUCAAUUUAGCUCUCCAUACCUGGAAAAUUAAUCUUCCUCACUAACAACUUCUACCGAGCUUAAAACCCCGCACUGCUCUUCUCGCAACCUCUUUCUUUCACUCAAGUCGAACCCUAACACCCACCUUAGAUUCCUCUUUUUCCAUUACUCGCCUUGAAAACAAGCCUAAUCCCUAGUUAUUUUGUCUCCAAGCAUUUAAUGUCCUCUCUCUCACUCGGCGCUAUUUCCCCUCUGGCCAUAUGGUUUCAGAUAACAAAAAUAAAAAGAAAACAAAGGAGGAAGAAGGGAUGAUGGAAGCCACUCCGAGAAGAACACCAAGUGAAGCGAUGUUGACUUCUUGAAGCUCCCUCCAGUGAAUGAAUCGUAUCGGAAUGAUGACGAUAUUUCAAAGGACAACUCGAAUCAUAGGAUGAAAUCAUAGAAACUCCAAAACCCUAGGUUAAUCGGUUGAAAACCCUACGAUGAGGAAGAACCCUAAUCUGGACACGAAGGAACCUAGAAAGGUGAAGAAACUCAAAAUUAACCGAUUAAUCGAUUCAAACUUAAGAUUAAACGGUGGAAAUGCUAGUUUGUUCGUUGGAAAGUAGUUUAAUCGAUGCAAAAUGGAAAUCAAUCGAUGGAAAUGGAGAAAAACAUAAAAAAAUAGGUGUUCUAGGGCUUGGGAACUCGAAAAAUGAAGAGGAGACCGAGAUGUGAAAAAUGAAGGAAGGAGACGAUUAUGUAAUGAAAUGAGACUUACGAUGAAGUUCGCAGAUGAAGAACUCUUCGAGAACGAAAGAGAGAGAAAAAUGUGUUUCGGAUCAAGAAAAUGUGAGAAAUGAAGGGUGGAGUAAUGUUAGGAAUUUCACCCUUCUCCUCUCAUAAACUCCCCAAGUCCUAACAUUACUCCCCCCUUGAGAUUCAACCUUGUCCCCAAGGUUAAAUUCAGGAAAUUGUUCCUGUAUCAUCACCCGGUCCUCCCACGUCACGUUUUUCAGCCCUUCACUAUGCCAUUCAAUCAGUACUUGUUCUUGUUGGUCUCCCUCGAGCUGCUGAAUACGCCUAUCAAGCACCCUGUUAGGAAAACAGGUAGGCCCACUCAUCUGUAAAUCUUCCUGGUCCAUCUCAACGCCUUCCUCAGAGAUCUAAUGGCCUAGGUAUUGGAUUUGUGUUUUCCCGAAUGCACACUUUUUUUGAUUCGCGACCCAACCGUGCUUCUCCAACAACUGCAGCACCAUCUUUAAAUGCUCGACAUGCUUUGCCCAUGUGGGGCUGUAGACCAAUAUGUCAUCAAAAAAACGAGCACCCACUUCCUCAAGAAAGGCACCUGUAGGGACGAACAUUUAUAGGAUUUUCCCCUUCCUUCAACACUAUUCAGUGCUCCAGAUUGCAUUUGGGAGGCAAACCUUCUCUCUCCUAGAACACAUGGUAGUGGGACUGCAGCACUGCUCUGAGUUCCACUUUCUGCUUUUCUGCCAACUCCUCAGUCAUGUCAUCGCCUGUCUCCUGCUCCACUACUCCUAAUUCCCAUACCAAGACCCAUGAGUCAGCAUACACCAUCUUCAACAACGCUUUUGGCUCCACUAGCUGGCACGAUAAAGCUGGGUCCCCUUUUAUCAAGACCUUAUCGCCCCCCACGACACACUGCAUGGACAUUACUUUCCAAUUCAACACGACCUCUCCCAGCUUAGCCAGCCAAGCAAUACCCAGGAUAACGUCUACUCCCCCCAGCUCAAACACGUAAAAAUCCUCUUCCAUGAUGGCAUUCCCCAGACCUAUCUUCACCUUCUCGCAUCGUCCCUGCAUCGUUCUUUUGUGUCCAUCUCCAAGGCUCAAGGUGUAAGUAGGCAUCUCAGUCACCGAAAGCUCCAACUCCUCCAACACUCUACGGCUGAUGAAAUUGUGACUAGCCCCGGUAUCAAUAAGGACCACCACCCUCCGUUCUCCGAUUAAUCCUAUCAAUUUCAUGGUCUUGGGAGGUGUCAGUCCCUCCGCCCAACACACCGAUAACUCCAUGGGUUUCGUCUCCUCCACUGUUUCUUCGUUCAACUCCUCCUCCUCGUCCUCCGUCAGCAGUAAAACUCUCAGGCUCUUUUCUGAGCAUCGAUGGGCGGGACCAAAAGGACCCCCACACUAGAAACAUCUACCUUCUUCUCUCUUUUUCAAGAACUCUGGACAAGGUAAGUUUCUUAUCGUUCGGAUCCUAUUGUCCUGACCAUACGGUCUACGACUGAUCUCUGACCCAUCCAAGUCGUUCGGACUUCCCAUAUCGUUCGGUCUCCCCAUACUGUUCGGUCUUCCCAUACCGUUCGGUCCUGCUCCACUCCCUGUUCCAACACCUUCAACUCCGUUCGGUCGACUGUUCUCGUUUCUCGUCACAGCCCCGACCACUCGUCCCCAUGGUUGCAGACCCUUCAUCACAUUACGACCUCCUCCACGCGCUCUGAAAAUAGCAUCCUCCACAUCCCUAGCGAUCCUAAUCGCCCCCUCCAAUUCCUUAGGAUCUUGGAUGCGGACUUGGCCCUUAAUGUCUUCCUUCAACCCCGCCAAGAAAAACCCUAACGUCAAUUCUUCCGUCAAGCCUUGUGUCUGUCCCAGCAACAUCUCGAAACUCCUAACUGCCUUGGCAGUUAGGCUGUGUAAUUGUUUUACUAUAUACAAGUAGUGGCCUAACAUCUUUGUUGUCAUGUCUUGAUCGAAUUCUCAAAAGUGGAACUUUCACUUGGCAUAGCUCACCAAAUUCCUUCCACUUCAUGGCUGGCUUGUUGCAAUUCUCAGAUCUCUAGUCAUGGUAGCCACCUUCCAAGCAAACCCUCAAGUGUAUCCUACUUGAGAACUUGGUCUCUUUCUUCUUUUCCCUUUCAACAACGACAUUUUUUCAAGGUUAAACCACCUUCUGUUCACAGGCUUAUGGUCAAACCUCCUUUGCACAUUGUGUAAAGGAAUGACACACCUUCAUAGGAUUUCAUCUUUGUUUGGACCAACCCUACCUUCUGCAGUCAAAACCAAAGGCUCCUCAAAUGGCUCCUGGAUGUCCUCGUCAACACUCCCCUCCUGUCACUCCGCUACAAUUUCCUCACAAACGGUACUUCGAUUUAAUCCACCAAACCUCCGCGUCAAAGCAUCGAUGAACAUCUUCCAAGUCGGAUGCAUGGUUUUCUUCCGCCAUAAGCGGAACCAAAAACUCACUAAACCUCCCUCCAUGCAUCUAUAGACGAGCUUCAUCUUCUCCUUCUUUGUGACGCUCUAGAGGUCGAAGAGUUUCUCUGCCUGUGCAAUCCAGCCCAUGGGAUUUGCACCUUCAAAUGUUGGUAGUUCAACGCACUUCCUCUAACUGCGUUGAACUUCUCUGUCAUCUUCUGAUUCCUCCUCCCAGUUUUUCGACGAUCGUCGUUUACGUCUAGCAUUGACGGAACCACGUCUUCCUUCGGAGCUUCGAUGCUGGUUCCAAGUUCGUCAUUCUCGAGCGCGGCUAAAUGCUUGGAAUUCGCGAGUUACCGCUCUCAUCUCCGCUUUCAACUCUUCCAUUGUCAAUUCAAUCACGAUCAACCUUCCCUCCAUUCUUCUUCUUCACCGUGCUCCGUUUGCUCCUUCGAUACAGUUCCAGCAGGUCGGACCAAACUCGUUAGGUUCCUUUGUUCAGGAGACCAAACAAAACACUCUCUUCUAACAAUAACAUUCCAAACAGCAAAAGAUGAAAGUAUGUGUAUGUAAAUUAUUGAAUCUGUAACGUAUAUAAAGAGAAAUACAAUUAUAUGUCCCAAGGAAGCCUCCCUUCCUCCACUGGAAAAUGUCCAGUCUAUACCCAAAAGGAAAAUAUCUGCUAAUCCCCCUCUCCCCUAUUCUGUAAGUAAUUAUACUCUCUCUCUCCUAACAACUACCAACUUUCUCUCUGUUGAAUUCCCUCCUAACAUAAACUUUCUACCGUUCAGUAUUAGCCACUAUAUAUCGUUCGGUCCUACGCUCCCUCUUUUAUUCCUAACACCAUGUACCAAUAUCAUCCAACAAACUUAUAAACAGAGAUCAAUAUGAGUUAACAUGGAGAUCACCAUGAAAUAGAAUCAUAAAUAAAAUCCUCUACAAAAAAAAAAAAAACCGUUCAAUGAAUAAACAACCUCCAGCAACAGCUUGUUCAUUGUCUUCCCAUCUGAAUUUAUGAAGUCAAAUACUUCAAUAGGAAAGCCAUAGGAAUGAAGCAGGCGCAACAUUUUUUCCAUGACAAUGCUCACCUAUAACAAUCAUCAAUAAUACUCAGUAUUAUAACAACAAAGAUUUAAAUGUUGAAAGCAUAUAAAAAUUAACAUUUCAGAAAUCAAACAGUUUUAAAGAGCCAAAACAAGAAUGUGAAAAAGUAAUAAAUCCAAUGGCUUCUUUAGGCAUCAACCCCUCCCCAACACACAUAAAUGCACACAUCUAAAUAGCAUCGCAUCACAACUAAUUUCAUGAUAACUGAUUGCAAUUAAUAUUUCAUGCAUCCUUAAAGAUAGCCGUGUAUGAAUUUUAAAUUAGAUGAAAAGUCAUAGUAUACAAAAAUCAUUUCCAAAAGAACUCACCUUGCUAUCAACUUUAAGGACUGGUUUAUUGCCCAUAUAAAGUGCAACCAUCAAUUGAAGAACCGGAAUCUCUAAGGGAAAAUUAAAAGGAGUAAUAAUUGCCACCUAUAGAGCACACUUCCAGAUUUAGGAUUACAACAAGAAUGAAAAGUAAAUGUUUAUGGAGUGUGAAAAAAAAAAUCUAAAUCAGGCACUCACGAUAAAACUCAAACUUCUCAGUUGCAUCACUAAUCUAAGCAAAAUUCAAUUCAACAUCAAAAAGCGUCUUAUUAUUUUUAAUGUCUCUUCAUGACUAGAAGUCGAGUCACAUCUAUAAAGCAUAAUCUUUUUUUGUAGAAAACAAAAAACGACCUUUUAUCAAAGAUGCCGAUAAGAGCGUAAAAGACUUGAAGUUUUCUAGUAGGUACAAAUACCUGAAUUCUGGGUUUUGCCUUAUUAUCAUAUGGAACUUAUUGAAAUUCCAUGCAAUAUUAUUUUUUCCAUUUUGGGAUAUAAUACCUAAAGAACCAAAGGGAAAUCAGCCACUCCUGCCAAGGUCAUCGAUGUACAUGGGCUUAUGCAACUGAAUUGACAUUUUAACAGUUACACCAUAAUCGACCUUUUAAAUAAUAACUUGAAGUCACAAAAUUAUUACAUUUUACUAGGUUUUAUAUUGGAAUAAUUGCUAUUAUUUUUCAUUUAAUCCAUCUCUUAGAGCACACUUAACCAAUUACUCAUAAACUGACUAGUGUGACAAAAGGUGACUGAUAAUUUUGAUACACCGAACAAAAACACUGUUUAUGAUAGAAUGAAAGACUCAUAUUUUGCCUUUCGUAGUAUGAUAGCAUAACAAACAUAUCAAUUAUAACCAUGACAGAACUAAACAAAACAUAAUCCUUACAGGACCAUAUGGCCAACGAAAACAAUGACUUUGCUGCCCAAGAUGAUUUCCAGGUACAGCAAAAGACCUCGCUAGGAAACGAACCUGUCAAGAUUUUGUUGAAAUGAAACAACAAAGAAGAAAUCAUUACAGGAAUUGUGAGCUUAUGUAUCAGUUUCUCUCCACAUAUGCAUGCAUCAGUGUUAAAUUUUUCCAUUAAUGAAUGAGGUAUAUUUUUCCAUUAACGAAUGAGGAAUCUAGGUAUCAACAAAAGAUAGGAAAUUGAUCAAUAUCCAUCAGUAAAUGGGAAAUCUCUAGAAACUUUUGUGUCACGUACACUUCCCUAAAAGCCUGCUAGAAGCUCUUCGGAGAAACUCUUUGAAUUAACCUUGUAAAAAAAUCUGAAACCUGAAGGUCAUGUAGUAUAAAUUAUUCAAAGCAUUCAACUAAAGAAGAAAAAGUUGACGUUGAAUACUGCAUUUAACAUACAUAAUAAAGUAGCAUUAAGUGAAUAAUGAUAAAGUUAAAAAACUAUUUCUUUAGUUUGAAACCUUAGGAAGUGAUAGCAUGUGUAGAUAUAUCUCCAUACAUGAGAUAUCUCCAAAAAGUUUAUAGCAAAAGCCAAAUUAAAUUUCAUAAAGAUAGUCAAAAUUAGAACAUAAGAAUAGAUAUCAUGCACUAAUGCAUAAAAUACUAGUAACUAAAAUGCCCAAGUUAGUUGCUUUUUUGGAGUGAAAAUGAAAGUUGUGACAUAAAGGUCUAGGGUGAGGUCCUGUCAAUUUAUUUUCACUUUUGACCAAGACAAACAUAAAUCCAACAAAUAAAACAUAUAUUUAUAUGUUUAUAUUUCUACAAAGAAAAUGAAGAAGAGAUACAAAGGAAUCUUUUCACCCACCGCUCUGGUGCCUUAAAAGGAUUGUGUACAUGUACACCAUGCUUGGGACAGCUGCACAAGCUUUCCACAAAAGGCUGAUACGUCCAACAAAAGGAAAAUUUUAGUCAAUAUCUCAGUCAAAAAUUACUGUUGAAUUCCAAUCAAGUACCAACUCAAGUAUAGUCUUCGAAUAGAAAUUUAUUUCUUUGACAGCCCUUCCUCACAAACAUAGAUUUAAGGUUUGAACUUGAACCUCCUAUUCAAAAAAAAGGUGUGCAGUGUGGUGACUAAUAAACCCCCGUAAUUUCUUAGUUUGAUGGAUGAGUAAGUAAUAAAAAUAACACAGCCUUCAACAUAUAAUUCACACGAUAACUUCUCAUCUAACAGUACACAUUCAUCCAAGCAUUAAUAUAACUACAUUUAAAUUUCAAGAAAUUAAUAUUAACCCCACGCAUAUCAAGUUUUAUAUCAUUCGAGCUCAAAUAAUCAUACCCUAAUUUCCUUGCCCCAAAUAGACAAUCUCAUCACAUACAAGCAACCAACAAAGCCCGAAUAACUAAUAUAUAUAGGACGCACAAACAGCCUCUAACUCACCCCAACUGCUGGAACUUAAUUUUCCCCAACUUCCACCGCAUCGUACUCACAUCAUUGCACCCAUAAUAUUUACAGUCUCAUCCAAAUUUAAUCAUAAGUAUUCAUGAACAUAUCUUACAACAGAAUAGUACAAAAACGAGAAUCCAAAAGCCCCAACAUAAUCACAGAACAAUACUAUACAAAUUCAAAAUCAAUUUAGCUCUCCGUACCUUGAAAAUUAAUCUUCCUCACUGCACAACUUCUUCUACCGAGCUUAAAAUCCCGCGUUCCUCUUUUCGCAACCUCUUUCUCUCACUCAACUCCAACCCUAACACCCGCCNUAGAUAUCCCUUUUUCCAUUACUCACAUUGAAACCGAGCCUUGAUCCCUAGUUAUGUUUCUCUCCGGACGUUUAAUGUCCUCUCUCUCACUUGCCGCUAUUUCCCCUCCGGUCCUAUGGUUUCAGAUAAGAAAAAUAAAAAGAAAACAAAGGAGGAAAAAGAGAUGAUGGAAGCCGCUCCGAGAAGAACAUCAAGCGAAGUGAGGUUGACUUCUUGAAGCUCCCUCCGGUGAAUGAAUCGUAGCAGAAUGAUGACAAUAAUUCGAAGGAGAACU
Molecule: long non-coding RNA, 7675 nt
Filed under: Vigna radiata
Lineage: Eukaryota; Viridiplantae; Streptophyta; Magnoliopsida; Fabales; Fabaceae
Description: long non-coding RNA (VRAD_LNC017702)
Source: RNAcentral